AUACUUACCUGUACAAGGUCAAUGGGUAAGCACAAAGGCCCAUGGCCUAGGGUAGUAGUCCUUAUUGUAGCUGAAGGGUGCACCACUCUAAUGUCUCACCAUGUGGGAGAGCCAAUGUCAUAAUUUGUAGUAGAAAGAGUUUACAUUCGUGCGGCCCCUAC
Molecule: small nuclear RNA, 161 nt
Organism: Mangifera indica (mango)
Lineage: Eukaryota; Viridiplantae; Streptophyta; Magnoliopsida; Sapindales; Anacardiaceae
Product: U1 spliceosomal RNA
Exons: 1
Source: RefSeq, a predicted model, not a curated record